CCUACGGGUGGCAGCAGUGGGGGAUAUUGCACAAUGGGCGAAAGCCUGACGCAGCGACGCCGCGUGAGUGAUGAAGGUCUUCGGAUCGUAAAGCUCUGUCAGCAGGGAAGAACGGUCACUGUGCUAAUCAGCAGUGCAUUGACGGUACCUGCACAGGAAGCACCGGCUAACUCCGUGCCAGCAGCCGCGGUAAUACGGAGGGUGCGAGCGUUAUACGGAAGUAUUGGGCGUAAAGGGCUCGUAGGCGGUAUGUCAAGUCAGGGGUGAAAGCCCCGGGCUCAACGUGGGAACUGCCUUUGAAACUGGGAAACGGGAGUGCGGGAGAGGAUAGUGGAAUUCCAGGUGUAGGGGUGAAAUCCGUAGAUAUCUGGAGGAACAUCAGUGGCGAAGGCGACUAUCUGGCACAUAACUGACGCUGAGGAGCGAAAGCGUGGGUAGCAAACAGGAUUAGAUACCCGAGUAGUC
This 465-nucleotide ribosomal RNA is filed under the name uncultured bacterium. RNAcentral's name for it is "partial 16S ribosomal RNA". It matches the Rfam family "Bacterial small subunit ribosomal RNA", at positions 338 to 795 of the family's 1533-position model. The record is from RNAcentral.